UACGGAGGGUGCAAGCGUUAAUCGGAAUUACUGGGCGUAAAGCGCACGCAGGUGGCUGAGAAAGUCGAUUGUGAAAGCCCUGGGCUUAACCUGGGAAUUGCAGUCGAAACUACUCGGCUAGAGUAUGGGAGAGGACAGUGGAAUUCCCGGUGUAGCGGUGAAAUGCGUAGAUAUCGGGAGGAACAUCAGUGGCGAAGGCGGCUGUCUGGCCCAAUACUGACACUCAUGUGCGACAGCGUGGGGAGCAAACAGG
RNAcentral lists this ribosomal RNA (253 nucleotides) under uncultured bacterium. Its description in RNAcentral is "partial 16S ribosomal RNA". It matches the Rfam family "Bacterial small subunit ribosomal RNA", at positions 524 to 776 of the family's 1533-position model. The record is from RNAcentral.